This 4907-nucleotide long non-coding RNA is filed under the name Malus domestica (apple). Its description in RNAcentral is "long non-coding RNA (MDOM_LNC001271)". The record is from RNAcentral. Lineage: Eukaryota; Viridiplantae; Streptophyta; Magnoliopsida; Rosales; Rosaceae.
UAGCAGAUGCUUUGUUGACUCAGAUGAAUAGUGUGGUUCACUAAUUCGUCUUUGCUCUAUGACUCACCAGAGACCGACAAACGAACGAUGCAGUCGGUGAACUUAAUUUCGUGCCCCAUACAGCUAUAUAUAUAUAUAUAUGUGUGUGUGUGUGUGUGUCUGUAUCGCAUUAAGUUUUAGCAGGCCUGCAGAGAUGAUAAGUGAGAUGAAAUCUGCAGUCUCUCUCUCACAGCUUGUCGUCGUUCUCCUUCUGCUAAUAUCCUCUCAAUCUCUUCCAAGCUGCGCCCAUGCAACUGCCCACCUGAAUAAUCCUACCAGGGUUCUUGGCGGCCAGCAAAUCCGGAUGCAGCAGCAGCAGCAGGAACCAGAAGCAGCUGCAAAUAAUUACGAUUUGACUAGUCGGAAGCUUGGGAUUCACAUGAAGAUAAUACGUAGGCCGACUCCCAAAGUUCCACGUGUCAAAUCAUCAUCAUCCCCAAUUUCAACUCAGAUGCCUUCUCUUGCUUUGGGUUUAUCCCUUUGCCUCUUCUUCUUUCUACUGUUUUAGGUAGUGGAUAUAUAUAUAUUGUUUGUGUCUGUAUUUGCCUACUCUCAUCAAACCAAUAUAUAGAAUUUACAAAUAUUAUUGUGUUGUCAUUACCUAGCUAUGUAAAACAUAUCAGCGUUUGAUUUCCUGGGUAGACUCAAUAGAACAGUAAGAACACACACAGAGAACAGAGUUUUCUAAGAUUUCAAUGUAUUCAGCUUGCUCUCUAAGCAAGGAGCUCAAAGAGCAUGUUUUACCGUUGGAGGAGUGAGAAACAACUUCACUCUCUCACAACAUUACAAAAACAUCACAACCAUUCAUUUCUAAGCCAUCAUGUAAGAUGCUUACACUUGUCAUGAGAUAUGACUCGUUACAAUCUAAUCUAGAUACCAUAUGGAAUAUGAUCCAAUGGCUUACAUUAAAAAACCUGCACAAUGCUUAUAAUAAACCUAACACAGCAAAUACAUUUAUACACCAAUAAAACAUGUAUACACUUGGAUUGAAAAGAAAUGAAGCUGUAUGCAAGCAUUGUGAUCGCGAGCGUUAUAUCGAGCUGUAUGCGAGCAGCAUCAUAGAAGGCAAACAAAUGAGGCGGUUUCGUUGCAUGGCCUUACGUUAAUUGGUGGUGGUGGGGGUGGUGCUUCAUCCAUCAGGAAAAUACGGUGCCGGGAAUUUCUAUUUCGUCUAUGUCAGCUGCUGCAGCUGCAAUCUCAAUUUCUCUUAAUGUCUGCCUCGCCAUCCUACCGGCUGUGUUAAUCUUCAUUCUUUGUUCAUUCUUUCCAUUGUGAUGUAUAUUAUGUAUAUGCUCUUGAUAUCACACAACUUCAUGUUCCUGAUGUUGAUGACGAUCAUACGACGUAUGUAUAUACCAGGAAAAAUUAUUGUAUGGUACCGCAAGCAUUUCUAUCGUUGAUAUAUUUAUGUUGAGGGUUAAUUUGGUUUUCAGAUAUAUUGGAUCGGAAUUAAUGGAUGAAAAAUGUUCAGAAAUUUUAAAAUUUCAAAAGACAUUAUAAAUAUUGGGUGAGAAAAGCAAAAGGCAUGUGUAUUUUUGAGAUUCAGAAUAGAUUUGCAGACUUGGAACAAGAGAUGAAUUUCCAUAUAUACCUAGUUAUUUUUCCUCUUUUAGAUACUAUCCACCAUAUACUACACUAAAGUAACUCAUUUUGUUACUUGCUUUAUUCUUUUCAUCGAAUCACCUUAACUUUUAUCACCUGCUUUAUUCUUUUCAUCGAAUCACCUUAACUUUUAUCACCGGUGAUGAUAGAGAAAUCAAAUUUUUAGAUCAAAUUUUAUAGACUAUAGGAUUAGUAAUUCUUUUUUAAAAAUCGAAUAGAUUUGGUCUUAUACAUACGCGAAAAAGGUAAUAAAAAAAAAAGAUGAGUUCUUCUUUCUUUUAUCAUUUUUGGAGCCAUGUGAGAUGAAAUUCUCAUGCACAGUUUUGAAUGAGAGAAAAAAGUGAGGAAUCCUCUUUUCAUUGAGCAUUUAGAUACAAUCAAUAGAAAUCCAGAAGGGCGCCAUAUUCUAGGAGCCCAAAUCCUUCUAAAGAAGGAAUUCAACCAUCAAUCACCACAUCUUGCGUCAUCAUACUAUGCGUGAUUAUAAAUAUGGUCUAAAAAAUGGUCUCUCUAACAUCUUCCUACUUACUAAGUUGUAGCCAGAAACAUUAUGAAUAAGCUCUCCAAGGAAAAGAUAAUAGAGGUAUCACAUUCUCUUCUAUCCUUUGUUUCCUCUCAAAGAGAUUUGGUCGACAAAGGUCUCUAGCUAAUUUAUUCUUUUUCAUCUAACCAUAGCACAAAGGAAGAUUCGAACUUAAAUAUCUUUUAACAUUAUUGAGGUUUGUCGCUAACUAAGAGGUAGUUAUGUCAAAAACACAACUUGAUCGAUCACAGCCACCAUCAAACCGCAAAUCCCUCUACCCAAUAGUGUUAUCCACACUCAUUUUUAUCUCUGACAUACCUCUCUCAAUUUCUAGCCAUCGAAUCAAAUAAAUUAAAAAUAUCAGUGGACCAAAAUUUAACAAGAAAGUGAAAAAUCAAAAGAAAAGUGUGAAUCGCGCUACCCUACGUAAAAUUAACCAAGUACUGCCAUGCAAAACCACACGCAUACACAUGCAUGUGCCUGCGGCAGGUUCGUUUUACUACAAUUAACAAGAAUCUUUACUUUAUCCAAAAGCCAUGAAAACCCUAAUCAACUUUUUUAAUGCUUUCACUUUUCUCGUUAGCUUUAUGCUUAAUUAGUGCUAAUUACACUUAGCAACAUAAGUCUAUUUAAGCGUGUCCCUCUUCUUCAUCAACCACUUUUGAAAAAUUAGUUACUAGUAUUAGGUUAUUAGAAAACCUAAUAUUUGAGAGAAGAUGAGAAGAGAAUUACUAAUAUUGUCCUUUUUUAUUCUCUCUGUGGUUGUUCAUUCUGCAUGUGAAACCACUUCCAACCCUAAAACCGGAGAUUAUACGCCUCUGAAGAAGCAGCAUGAUUACCUUAAGCUUAAGGGUAAGCUCACAAAUUCUCUCGACAGAUCGAGGAAUAUUACUGAUUUCCUACGUUCUUUUUCGCUAAUUUUAUCGAUGUUAUAAGCUCCGCAGAUGUAUAUGAUACGAUGAACAAAUCAAGCACAAAAGGCCAUCAAAGAAUGCAUGAAGUUCAGCAUCUAAGGAUUUCCCAGAAACUGAAGGCAAAGCCAACCUCCGGUGGCGCCUCCGACCUUAGUCGCACCCGUCCCAGCAAGGGUGUAGCAAGCUCUGUACUAGCUAAACCCCCCAAUUCUUCCUCUUCGCAGUGUUCAGGCAUGUUGCUGUUGGACUGAUCAUCUUUGCUCUGUAUUAAUCGCUUGAGGUAAUUUUGCACACGUUAUUUAGGACGCGAUGGAUGUGGAAGUUUUGCGAUGAAACUUUCGCUGUUAAACCCGUGUUUAAACCCGUUUCUCAAACCUGAUUCUUAUGUAAUUGUAAAUUAGAAUAUCUACUUAUUGCAUUAUUUGACAUUUCUUCCCAUCUUCCCCUGUUCUUUGCCAAAGCAUAUGCUGUUGGGUUACUGUCAUGCCACGCAAAACACUAUGGUCGACGAGGUGUAAACAAUAUAAGCAUGGCGAUGUCUAAACAAAAGCAGAAACAUGAUUUGUAUAUGCCGUGAAAGUGUGAUACUAAAUACAAAGAGAAAAGUAUUCAUACAUGGUUUAUUUGGUCUUAUCAAAUUCAAAGCCAUCACCGCGAGCGACCGCUGCCUUAUAAUAAUAUAUGACAAAAUUAGGAUCAUCUAUCAUAUUAUCUUCAAUUUAUAAAAAGAAGGAAGCUUCAAUAGUUCAAAAUACUUCAACUUUGGUGUCCUCCUACUCCUUUAGUUAAUCAUAUAUUAUGUAUGAUUAUCCAUAUUUAGUAACAAAGUAUGUUAACUCAGAUGAAAAGUGUGGUUAACCUAUUCGUCUUUUGCUCUAUGACUCACCAAUGGACCUACAGUCGAUGCAGUCCGUUGAACUUUCGCGUCCCCCAUAUAUAUGUAAUUGUCUCUGUAGAUUGCAUUAACUUUAGCAGGCCUGCAGAGAUGAUAAGUGAGAUGAAAUCUGCAGUCUCUCUCUCACAGCUCGUCGUCGUUCUCCUUCUAGUACUAGUAGUAUCCUCUCAAUCUCUUUCAAGCUCCGCCCGUGCAACUGCCCACCUGAAUAAUCCUACCAGGGUUCUUGGCGGCCAGCAAAUCCGGAUGCAGCAGCAAGAACCAGAAGCAGCAGCAAAUAAUUACGAUUUUACUAGUCGGAAGCUUGGGAUUCACAUGGAAGAUAUAUAGUACGUAGGCCGACUCCUAAAGUGCCACAUACCAAAUCAUCAUCAUCCUCAAUUUCAACUCAGAUGCCUUCUCUUGUUUUGGGUUUAUCCCUUUUGCCUUUUCUUCUUUCUACUGUUUUAGGUAGUGGGUAAUAUAUAUAUAUAUAUAUAUAUAUGUGUGUGUGUAUUUAUCAGGAUUGUCUGUGUCCAGUGGCGAAAUCAGGAUUGGCCAAGGGAAGGGGCGAAAUUCAAAAGAAUGUAAGGUUCGAUUGAAGAGGUUGCUUUCAUAUUGGAGAGUGCAAAGUGUUGAGUCAAUAUUCAUAGCAUAAAAUAGUCUCUCCACAAAAAUGGUUGUAAGUAAUAUUAUCAAAACCAAUGUAAGAAGCUUAAAUUAGCUAGGAUUAGAUCCUAAAAAAUGUUAGGCACUAGUCAAACAACGGACUGGGACCUAGCAGCUUGAUGCCUAGGCAAGAUCUAGGUAGGAGUCUAAAUUGAUUUAAAUUAUCAUAAAAUAAGCAUUAAACAAUAUUUAUAUUGUUUUUAAAAAGUAAUACAAUAUUUAUCAAUAAUGUAAGAGUUUAAAAUAAAUACGGUGGAAGUCUUAAAAAGAAAAUAAAAAUACAUAU